GUUUUACCUCUCUUAGACCUCAUUUAAGGGCUGACUGCCACCCUAGGAGGAUCUCUUCUAGAAUAGAUCCUUCCCUUGUGGAGUUUUUCCUGUGAGCAUAGAUCUUCAGAGACAGGAAGUAAAAAAUUUGCUCUUGGCUUUUAGUACCAGCAAAGAAGAAUCCUUUCCACCGUGGCUCAGAACAAGCUGGUCAGACAGCACAAAGUGAUACAAUUCUCAGGAAGAUGCUUACCACACACACUUGCUAAGUUUCUAGUUUUCCACCUACUGAAGAAGUGCAAGUAACAUCUGAUCAGCUGUAGCUUAACAUCCAGGGACUCUGCUCACGAGAUUCUUGAGGAUGAUAACAGAUGGGGGCUUCCAUCUGGACCAGAAUAGCACUGAAGGUUGAUCUCAGCAUGGUACAUCCCACACUGCGAAGCAUUCACCAAGAUGCUCAGCAGACCAAACUUCAUGUGCAAGGGGCCCAUCCUCUGAAAUAGCUUCUUGAUUAGUGCAUUUGAGCUCGGCUUAUCUGCCAGGAAGGAAGGAAAGAAGAAUAUCCUCUUGCUCCUUUGUACCUCCUCAUAUUCCAACUCAACACUCUACUUUGAUGCGUUGCUCUAAGAAAUCCUUGGUCCACAGCUAGAAGAUAUCAGCUGAGUUCUGUUCCUCAAUGCUGGAAUGUGAAAACUGCGAUAAGAAGCCGUCGUCUGUCUUCACUUUUGUGUAGGCUGAGCAUUUACUGCAAAAGACUGCAGUGGCUUGUCCAAGUCUUCUUUCAAAACGUCUAUCUGCACCAACCCCUACACACAUUGGCAGUUCCAUUGCUCAGAUCCUGCUGACCUGCAGGCAUAGAGUUCAGUCCUCAGCCAGCACAACAGUCAGGCACCGAUGUUCCCAAUGCCACUCUUCUGCUGGGAAGAAAAUUGAGCUUGGUGGAAAAACAACAUGCCCAGAAAAGGAACCUGCCCUUUCUCCUAUUCUGAAAACAAGAAAGCUGUGGAUUUGUUUCAUCAGCAUAACCUAAAAACAGCUGACAUUGUGUCUUUGAAUACCAAGGCCAAGGGCCAGAGGAUUCUAUGCAAAGAAGGAACACGCUAGCAGAGGACACUACAACUUGCAUUUUCUUACUAUCAGGUUGCUGUCUCCCAAACAAGAUGUCUUUCUAGCAUUUAAAAAGCUAAAGACUGUAAUAUGAAAGGUUACAAAGCAGUAAAGAGAAGUGACAGAAAAACCCCUCUGACAAUCCUGCACACAACAUUCUGGCUAACUGAUUAGGUGAUGAAUCCAGUCUGAUGUACUCAAACUUAUGGACUUCUGUUAACUCCUAGGGGACAGAAGCAUUUCAGCUUUCUUUAGCAAUUCAUCUAAAACGUGAGCAGGAAAUUCAGCUCCAGCCUGGAAUGCAAAAGACAAAUUUCCUUUGAAGCCAAGUCUCCUCUCCAAAUGCAGCCCUGAGAACUACUUUUUUGCAUUUUUGCAGCCUAUUGCGUCGUGUAUUACUUACCGCUUUGAAAACAUAUUAAUAUUUCAGAGACACGCUUGAGUGUAUUUGCCUAUGUAUCAGUGAUAGACCACUUAAAGAUCUUUUUCUUUUUUUAAAUCUCAUUGUUCAA
Molecule: long non-coding RNA, 1598 nt
Organism: Tympanuchus pallidicinctus (lesser prairie-chicken)
Lineage: Eukaryota; Metazoa; Chordata; Aves; Galliformes; Phasianidae
Exons: 4
Source: RefSeq, a predicted model, not a curated record